Sorex fumeus (smoky shrew) is the source of this 142-nucleotide small nucleolar RNA. RefSeq annotates it as small nucleolar RNA SNORA70. The record is from RefSeq and is a predicted model, not a curated record. Lineage: Eukaryota; Metazoa; Chordata; Mammalia; Eulipotyphla; Soricidae. The transcript has a single exon.
CCACAGAGAAUAACUGCACAAAAAUCUCUCAUUCUCUCUCCACCACAGGGCCCAGUGUGUGAUGGCUGCAAACCAUAAGCAGACGCCUUGGUAGUGAAGCAACUUCCAUGGACCAGCUGUUCUAAGGACCUUGGAAACAGUC